Molecule: ribosomal RNA, 332 nt
Filed under: uncultured Acidobacteriota bacterium
Lineage: Bacteria; Pseudomonadati; Acidobacteriota
Description: bacterial SSU rRNA
Rfam family: Bacterial small subunit ribosomal RNA
Source: RNAcentral
UUCGUAGGUGGCCUACUAAGUCAGACGUGAAAUCCCUCAGCUUAACUGGGGAACUGCGUCUGAUACUGGGGGGCUUGAGGACAGGAGAGGAACGCGGAAUUCCAGGUGUAGCGGUGAAAUGCGUAGAUAUCUGGAGGAACACCGGUGGCGAAGGCGGCGUUCUGGACUGUUUCUGACACUGAGGAACGAAAGCCAGGGGAGCAAACGGGAUUAGAUACCCCGGUAGUCCUGGCCCUAAACGAUGAAUGCUUGGUGUGGCGGGUAUCGAUCCCUGCCGUGCCGCAGUUAACGCGUUAAGCAUUCCGCCUGGGGAGUACGGUCGCAAGGCUGAA